UUAAAUUACGUAUUCCUAUAUGGAACACUCACCUAGUCAAAACAAGCGAGUAGUUCUCAAACAAGCGUUUUAGGUGUCCGCUCCGAGAUCCUCUUGAAGGUUCCCGCGAGUGCCUGAGCAAACAAUAAUCAAGUACCACUCAAUAUCACUACGAAUCUCUAAUUAUCGAGGAAGAUUGUACACUAGUACAAUCUAAGAAAUUAACGCGGAGAUGAGUCUAAGAGUUCGUGUAACUCGAGGUUCAAAAGUGGGGUUUUAAAACACAAGACAAAUCUGAUUUCUAUCUCUGAAAUCAAAUGUAAAAUGAUCAAAUGAUAUUGAAGGAAAAUGGAGAGUUCGAAACCCUUAGUUUCCUUUAAGUUAGAAAAUUUCAGAUUUAAUAAGCAAUCUUUGAAAAAUCAUAUCUCACUCUCUACAAGUCCAAAAUUGGAAAAAUUGAUACUGUUGGAAACCCCUUUGAAAGUACUAAAAGUUCUUAGAAGGCACUUUUCCAUGAUUCUAAAUGGAAGAUAUUCAAAAAUUGGCUCAAAGUUAUUGCUUUAGAAUACCAAGACAGUUUCAAGAUUGGUUUUUGGGCAACUUUGAAAAUUCGGUAAAAUUCACACGUUGUAAAUCAGCCUCCGAAAUUUGUAACUCAAUUAGAGUUACAAUCAACGUUUAAAACAAAACAAGCGGAACGAGAAACGGAGUUUUGAGCACCAAGAUAUGGUAGCUCAAAGUUAGUGAAAAUGUGAAACUGUUAAGUAAAUUCCAGGUUUAAUUCACAACUUUGGGACUUUGAUUGAACACCGAGAUGGACUCGGAAUGGAACCAAAAUUAGCAGUAUAAUACUAUCAUAUAAGGACUAUUUCUAUGCCAAAUUUCAUGGACAAAUAAGCAUGGGAAGUUGAUUAACCAAAAAACCAAAGUUUCAAAAAUUCCAAGGCAGAUCUGCCUUGUGAGUUCCGUUUUCCGUUUUCAAAACAUUUAGCUUAUAAAGUACCUCAAACACGGUCCAUCAGCAUAGAAAAUGUCUAAGAGGCAUUCAAAACAAAAUUUGUGGGUGACUAACACCAAGAAUUUCAAGUACAAGUCCCAAACCAAGAUUAGUUAAAGAUCAGUCCAAAAUGAAGAAAUUCAUAACUGAGUCAGUUUCAAACUUUGGUCACAACUCACUCAAUUCAACUUGGAAUUGAGUAUGGUUGGUGGCGUUGGAAAAUACAUUCAUAAAGAUGAAUUUUAUCAGAAGGAACCAUUUUCAAAUUCUAUCCACAAACAGCUCGUUUUUGAGCAUCAAGAUACAAGUCCUGUCCUGUCUCCUGGAGAGAAACGAAACAGGACAGUGAUUUUCAAUCGAAUGGUGUGGCUCACUCAGGUGGAACCAGAAUGUGCACUUGGUACCAAUGGAAAGCUGGGAAUGUCUAGUUUCCAAUGCCACAAACGGAACUUGAUUUCGACUUCGGAGCAAAGAGUUAUGGCCGAUACAAAAUGACUGCCUGGGCAAUACGGGAUUCAUUUUCCAGUUUUGCUAACUUUGGAAAUCAACUCAUUUGACCAACCAAAUCAUGUUAUUUUUCAAUGAAAUUUUGUACACAACCAAUAUAACAUGUAAACAACGUAAUCAAGCCAUUAGAACGUCAAAAUUUUGCACAUGAGUGGUCGGACAAGGCAGGGGUAAAAUCGAAAACUUUUCCUUCUUGCACCCAAUGAAGUUUCUAUUAAUUACACACCAUUAAUCCAUCAUUUUAACCACUAAACCAACAAUACAUCCAUCAUCAAUUAUCAAAUCAGCAACAACCCAAGAGUGGGAGUUCAUAGAGCCCACUUUCACAUUUUUCCAACAAUAUCAAGUCAUCUACUUACAUGCAAGUGCUUAGAGAUGCAUAUCUACCACCAUAAAUCAAGUUUAAGGUGAUGGAUCAUGUUAUACCUUCUUAAUGUACUAGAUCAGAAUUUUUGGCCCUCAAAAUGCUCCAAGAAACCGUGAUUUCCAGCACCCUUUUUGCAGCUCAAAAUGAUCUCCUAGUGUUAAGCUAAGUGUGGUGCAAGUUUGGUUGAAUUUGGAGAUGAUUUGGUGGUGGUUUGAGUAAGAUUUGUGGAGUAAAAUGAAGAACAAUGGAGCUUAAGAGAGAGAGAGGUUGGCCGGCAGUCUUGGGAGGAAGAGAGAGAGUGAUCAGAUUUUUUUUAAGCUUCCAAGAGAAGAUACUAGCUUGUGGCCACAAAUCACCCAUUAGUCAACUCACAUUAGGGUGCGUUUGGCGCGAUUCGGGCUCGAUUCCUCUUGCGUUUGUUUCACUAGUACACUAAACCUCUAAUGCACUUAUAUUCAUAUAAAUAUUAUUCACUCUUAAUUGUCCUAAAAUAAGGGUCUAACGUUCCUCAAUUUAAAUCGCGCGUGUGAAAACGCGUAUCUCCAAUUUAAGCGCGAUAACGCGAAACUUCCGAGAAAUUCUUAUAUCGAUAGUACUAAUAACUAUCACUUGAGUAUUUAAACAUUAAAAUACCUAAUUUAGGUCCAUUGUACAUGUCUCUAAUAUUCCAAACUUAUUGUACUCUCAAUCGGUCAAGAUUUCCAAAGACGUGUUUACUAUUUUCAAUAAACGAGUUCCGGAAAAUUAAUUUUUGAAACAAGUCACUUUAAAAAUAUAAUGAAACUAUAUUUUCAUGUAAUUAGGUCUCAAGAGCUUAGAAAAUAAUAUUCGGGGUAAAAGGCCAAAUAAAUAAUUAAAUAAGCUAGAAAUAGGAGAUUAAAUAAGUAAAUUUUGCGAGUCCUCACAACCUCCCCUCCUUAAAAGAAUUUCGUCUUCGAAAUUCAUACCUUCUGUAAUCUCAGACAACUCUGAACCGUGUGGUGUGUUCAUGUCAUGCGUUCUUUCAGAUGCCACUGAUCGGUUUCUCCUUCCAUUGACUUGUCGAGGGACAGUUCCAUUUCCUUGUUGAGUAGUAGUUUCUCGUGGAUACCUCCUUGGACAGUCAUGAACUUUAUGGUUGGUACUCCCACACCCCAUACACUUUCGUCCCUUUAGCCAACAGUUUUCUUCAGUGUGAUUCGUCCUUCCACAAUAUCCACAAGUCGGACGAGGUAUUGUGACCUGACUUGCUUGCGAGGUUUUCUUUGAUCGUGUCUGUCCUACUGGAGUCCCUCGCGACAUGGUUCCUUUUGGUUCCUUUAUCAUGAGUGGUGCAGGAAGUAACAGUCCUACUCCAUCCACUUCUUUUCUAACUUUGGGUGGUGGUCCAUUUUCUCCUAAUGUACUGUCAGAUGCAUCUCUUUUCCUUGCUUGAAAGGCUCUCAGUUGAGAUUUUGUGCUCUCUACCCUUUGCGCCUUCUCGAGAGCGUCACUAAAUGUGUCAACCUGUGCUGCAGCAAGGGCAUCUUGGAUCUCUAAAUCUAAUCCUUGGAUAAACCGUCUUAUUCUCUUUCGUUCAGUAGCCACCAAUUCUGGGGCAUAUAUAGAUAACUUCGUAAAGCGUGUUUCAUACUCAGCUACGCUCAAAGUUCCUUGACGAAGCUUUAUAAAAUCAUCUUCUCUCUUUUCUUGGACAAGUGGAGGAAGAAAUUUCUCAUUAAAUUCACGUACAAAGUUUACCCAAGUCCUUAGGGUUUGAUCUCUUUCCCACUUGUUCCUUAUAACAUUCCACCAGGCUCGGGCUACUCCUUCAAGUUGAAAUACAGCAAAGGUGACUUGUCUCUCCUCUGUGUAAUCCAAGGCAUCGAAUAUAUUUCUUAUAUUCUCUAACCAAUUCUCAGCCACCUCUGGAUCAGGUCCUCCAGCAAACUUGGGCGGGGAAAAUUUCUGAAACCGCUCUAAAGCUCGAUCCUCCCCUAUUUCUUGGUUUCCACGUUGGUUUCCUUGUCCUACACCUUGACCUUGUUGAGCUACUAAGAGCUCUAGGAUAUCCAUCAUGCGAGUUAAAACUUGUCCCAUUUGGUCAUUUCCUCUCCCAGCACUUAGCUCAGCAUUUUGGUCAAUAUCAGAUCCAUUAUCUACUCUUUCAUUUCGGGGUUGUCUAGGUUGACGUCCUUUUCGUUGUCCUCUAGUUUCCAUGUUCACAGCUAAUCUAUACACAUAUGUAUAAAUCUCACACUAAGCCAUAGUCGAACUACACACAUAUGCCAGUAACAACCUUUAAAGGAAAAGAAAUCACAUAUACAAAUAUCAUUAUCACUAUGCAAGUAAACACAAACUAGAGUUCAUUAAAUCAUAAAACAAGUUAUGGCCAAGCAAAGUUCAUGCCAAGUCAAAGUCAAUAACAAAAAUAAACAAGUGAUUAUCACAAGUACAUUCAUCUCCAAGGCGCAAACUCUUAAGUUCUACUCCCAUCGUCUCACUAUGAAAGAUCACAAGUAGAGAUUCACUAGAUUAAUUGGAACUAGACGAUUCUCGUUCCCUAACAUGCUCGAUUUCAAUCCCAACACAAGGAUCUUUUGGGUUACGAUAUUUUCCAUCUCCCACUCUUAAUUAUCGUACCAUCUUAACCAAACAAUUAUUGGUUUCCUGUAACCAUUCACAUGAAAUAUCAAUUCAUUCAUAUUCCCCACAAAUGGAGAUAUCAAGCCCCUUAGGGUUGUUUUCCACCCUCAAGUACUCGGGUACAAGAAUCCGAAAUAAGGUAAUUCACAACUCGAGCCGGCCGGUCCCAAGAGUAAAUCACCACAUUCGAGAUUCCUACCCAACAUACAUAUCAAAUUCCCUCCAAUUAUCAAGAUAAAAGUUUUACAACCUAUAACAUUCAUGAUUCACAGCUUACAUUUCUAGAAGGGCACUUAAGCCUUUACUCAAUCACAUAGUAAGGACCAUAACACCACUUGGUCCUAUCUUGCUCCUUUGUAGAGACCACGCGAAGUGGCUCUAAAUUUCAUCGCUACAAGCAAUCAUUUAACUUUCAAACCGGUCCCACAGUCCGGCAUCCUAAACAUUUAAGCCUAGGAUACACUAUAAAGAUCUGAAGCCUAAGCUCUGAUACCAACUGUGACGCCCCCACUUCUCCCUAAGGCGAACCAAAGGGUAUCCGCGGGACGCCUGCCCAGCUCUCGCCAGGACUCGCUACAAUCCAUCAUUCAAAAGCCCGAAAUACUUUAAGUAACUUCAAUACAUAAUUAAAGUACUUCAAAUAUCUCACACUUACAAUUAUGUAGCUUUCCAAACUUAAAUACAACCCAACAGAAAAGGGGUACAAUAGCCAUCCGUUAUAAUAUAACUUAAAAUCUUCAAAAGAAAACAAUCUAGUACUACUCACGAGUACCCUUGGUCUCGAACCCUGUAAAAGAAAACCACAACGUGGGAUGAGCUACACAGCCCAGUGAGGUUCCAAGACACUCUAACAAUUCAAAUAAAUCAAGUAAGUUGGGCAUAUCAUAUGCGUGGUUCAAGGUUACACAAUGGCAUGUUAUCAUGAGGUGAUGAUCACUGUACGGGUAAUUUGAGACAUGUAUCAUGGUAUAAGACAUUUAUCAUGAGACAGUUAUCAUGGUUCAAGACAUUGGCAUGUAUAGUUCACGAGUAAUUGGAGCUUA
RNAcentral lists this long non-coding RNA (5497 nucleotides) under Coffea arabica (coffee). RNAcentral's name for it is "long non-coding RNA (CARA_LNC007793)". The record is from RNAcentral. Lineage: Eukaryota; Viridiplantae; Streptophyta; Magnoliopsida; Gentianales; Rubiaceae.